GAUAUGGCUCAGAUUGAACGCUGGCGGCAGGCCUAACACAUGCAAGUCGAACGGUAACAGGAAGCAGCUUGCUGCUUUGCUGACGAGUGGCGGACGGGUGAGUAAUGUCUGGGAAACUGCCUGAUGGGAGGGGGAUAACUACUGGAAACGGUAGCUAAUACCGCAUAACGUCGCAAGACCAAAGAGGGGGGACCUUCGGGCCUCUUUGCCAUCGGAUGUGCCCAGAUGGGAUUAGCUAGUAGGG
This 244-nucleotide ribosomal RNA is filed under the name uncultured bacterium. RNAcentral's name for it is "partial 16S ribosomal RNA". It matches the Rfam family "Bacterial small subunit ribosomal RNA", at positions 15 to 253 of the family's 1533-position model. The record is from RNAcentral.